Molecule: ribosomal RNA, 541 nt
Filed under: uncultured bacterium
Lineage: Bacteria
Description: bacterial SSU rRNA
Rfam family: Bacterial small subunit ribosomal RNA
Source: RNAcentral
UAGGGAAUCUUGCGCAAUGGGCGAAAGCCUGACGCAGCGACGCCGCGUGAGGGAAGAAGGCCUUCGGGUUGUAAACCUCUUUCAGGAGGGACGAAGCCACUCGGGUUAAUAGCCCAGAGGGUGACGGUACCUCCAGAAGAAGCCCCGGCUAACUACGUGCCAGCAGCCGCGGUAAUACGUAGGGGGCAAGCGUUGUCCGGAUUUAUUGGGCGUAAAGAGCGUGUAGGCGGCCAUACAGGGUCAGCUGUGAAAACUCGAGGCUCAACCUCGAGACGUCGGUUGAAACCGUAUGGCUAGAGUCCGGAAGAGGAGAGUGGAAUUCCCGGUGUAGCGGUGAAAUGCGCAGAUAUCGGGAAGAACACCCGUGGCGAAGGCGGCUCUCUGGGACGGUACUGACGCUGAGACGCGAAAGCGUGGGGAGCGAACAGGAUUAGAUACCCUGGUAGUCCACGCCGUAAACGAUGGGUACUAGGUGUGGCGGGUGUCGACUCCCGCUGUGCCGAAGCUAACGCAUUAAGUACCCCGCCUGGGGAGUACGGCC